UCAAAUCAAAUUUGUAUGGAGUUGGAACGUUUGCCUACGUUUGGCGCUAGGGGCGCUGUUCCAACUGCAAACAAAUUUGCGUUU
Non-coding RNA from Bombyx mori (domestic silkworm), 84 nucleotides. NCBI's taxonomy places the organism in Eukaryota, Metazoa, Arthropoda, Insecta, Lepidoptera, Bombycidae. The record is from Rfam.